UAGGGAAUCUUCCGCAAUGGACGCAAGUCUGACGGAGCAACGCCGCGUGAGUGAAGAAGGAUUUCGGUUCGUAAAACUCUGUUGUUAGAGAAGAACAGUGCAUAGAGUAACUGUUAUGCGUGACGGUAUCUAACCAGAAAGCCACGGCUAACUACGUGCCAGCAGCCGCGGUAAUACGUAGGUGGCAAGCGUUGUCCGGAUUUAUUGGGCGUAAAGCGAGCGCAGGCGGUCAAUUAAGUCUGAUGUGAAAGCCCCCGGCUCAACCGGGGAGGGUCAUUGGAAACUGGUUGACUUGAGUGCAGAAGGGGGGAGUGAAAUUCCAUGUGUGGCGGUGAAAUGCGUAGUUAUAUGGGGGAACACCAGUGGCGAAGGCGACUCUCUGGUCUGUAACUGACGCUGAGGUUCGAAAGCGUGGGUAGCAAACAGG
Molecule: ribosomal RNA, 427 nt
Filed under: Bacteroidota bacterium
Lineage: Bacteria; Pseudomonadati; Bacteroidota
Description: Bacteroidetes bacterium partial 16S ribosomal RNA
Rfam family: Bacterial small subunit ribosomal RNA
Source: RNAcentral